AAGUCGUAACAAGGUUUCCGUAGGUGAACCUGCGGAAGGAUCAUUAACACGUAUCCACGUAUCAACCAAUUGUGAACUUGUUUUCAAGUCUCCCUAUUGUUCCGACUGAUUCGUCAGGCGGACCAUUAGGCCAACCCGUUCGCUUUCGCUUCACCGCGAAUCGAACGAUUUACAACACACCAAUUUCACCCCCUUUUUGCUAGUUGACUUUUAUAUGUUGUCUGAUUUCAUCUUCAUUGAUGAGUCAUUCACACGUUUAUUAUUUGAACGUUAAAUUUACAACUCUUAGCAAUGGAUAUCUUGGUUCUC
Molecule: unclassified non-coding RNA, 309 nt
Filed under: fungal sp.
Lineage: Eukaryota; Fungi
Description: partial internal transcribed spacer region
Rfam family: Eukaryotic small subunit ribosomal RNA (bases 1-46)
Source: RNAcentral